GACGAACGCUGGCGGCGUGCUUAACACAUGCAAGUCGAACGGAAAGGCCCUGCUUUUGUGGGGUGCUCGAGUGGCGAACGGGUGAGUAACACGUGAGUAACCUGCCCUUGACUUUGGGAUAACUUCAGGAAACUGGGGCUAAUACCGGAUAGGAGCUCCUGCUGCAUGGUGGGGGUUGGAAAGUUUCGGCGGUUGGGGAUGGACUCGCGGCUUAUCAGCUUGUUGGUGGGGUAGUGGCUUACCAAGGCUUUGACGGGUAGCCGGCCUGAGAGGGUGACCGGCCACAUUGGGACUGAGAGACGGCCCAGACUCCUACGGGAGGCAGCAGUGGAGAAUAUGGCACAAUGGGCGGAAGCCUGAUGCAGCAACGCCGCGUGCGGGAUGACGGCCUUCGGGUUGUAAACCGCUUUCGCCUGUGACGAAGCGUGAGUGACGGUAAUGGGUAAAGAAGCACCGGCUAACUACGUG
Molecule: ribosomal RNA, 468 nt
Filed under: uncultured bacterium
Lineage: Bacteria
Description: partial 16S ribosomal RNA
Rfam family: Bacterial small subunit ribosomal RNA
Source: RNAcentral